AUUGAACGCUGGCGGCAUGCCUUACACAUGCAAGUCGAACGGCAGCACGGGUGCUUGCACCUGGUGGCGAGUGGCGAACGGGUGAGUAAUACAUCGGAACGUACCUUAUCGUGGGGGAUAACGCAGCGAAAGCUGUGCUAAUACCGCAUACGCCCUGAGGGGGUAAGCGGGGGAUCGCAAGACCUCGCGCGAUUAGAGCGGCCGAUGCCUGAUUAGCUUGUUGGUGGGGUAAAAGCCCACCAAGGCGACGAUCAGUAGCUGGUCUGAGAGGACAAUCAGCCACACUGGGACUGAGACACGGCCCAGACUCCUACGGGAGGCAGCAGUGGGGAAUUUUGGACAAUGGGGGCAACCCUGAUCCAGCAAUGCCGCGUGAGUGAAGAAGGCCUUCGGGUUGUAAAGCUCUUUUGUCAGGGAAGAAACACCGGCUCUAACACAGUCCGGGAAUGACGGUACCUGAAGAAUAAGCACCGGCUAACUACGUGCCAGCCGCCGCCGUAA
This 501-nucleotide ribosomal RNA is filed under the name uncultured bacterium. RNAcentral describes it as "partial 16S ribosomal RNA". It matches the Rfam family "Bacterial small subunit ribosomal RNA", at positions 30 to 523 of the family's 1533-position model. The record is from RNAcentral.